RNAcentral lists this ribosomal RNA (253 nucleotides) under uncultured bacterium. RNAcentral's name for it is "partial 16S ribosomal RNA". It matches the Rfam family "Bacterial small subunit ribosomal RNA", at positions 524 to 776 of the family's 1533-position model. The record is from RNAcentral.
GACGAACCGUGCGACCGUUGUUCGGAAUCACUGGGCUUAAAGGGCGCGUAGGCGGCAUAGCAAGUCCGGGGUGAAAGCCCCCGGCUCAACCGGGGAAGUGCCUUGGAAACUGCUGUGCUCGAGGGAGGUAGGGGUCGAGGGAACUUCUGGUGGAGCGGUGAAAUGCGUUGAUAUCAGGAGGAACGCCGGUGGCGAAAGCGCUCGACUGGACCUUUUCUGACGCUGAGGCGCGAAAGCUAGGGGAGCAAACGGG